This is a small nucleolar RNA of Sapajus apella (tufted capuchin), 144 nucleotides long. RefSeq annotates it as small nucleolar RNA U109. The record is from RefSeq and is a predicted model, not a curated record. Lineage: Eukaryota; Metazoa; Chordata; Mammalia; Primates; Cebidae. The transcript has a single exon.
CUGUAUGUUGGGAGCUCUUAAUCUGCUCUUCAUUCUGUUGGGAGUGAGACUGUGUAUCUGCAGCAUACUAUAUAAAAUAAAGGAGUUUUCCGGGCUGCUGGCCGUACAGUGACAAUUAAGUGAUAGUCUGUUUCUUUUUCAUGA